RNAcentral lists this long non-coding RNA (439 nucleotides) under Homo sapiens (human). Its description in RNAcentral is "non-protein coding lnc-BRINP1-1:6". Lineage: Eukaryota; Metazoa; Chordata; Mammalia; Primates; Hominidae. The record is from RNAcentral.
GAGUCACUUUGAGAGGACUAUUCCUAAAAGCCAAAUUUAACAACACAUCCAGCCUCAGACUCAGGUCCCUGGACUUUGGGACUCAUUCUGCUCGACUUGAUCCCUGCUCUGCCCAUUGAUCACAUACACACGUUUACACCUGGCAGAAGAGGAAGAGGAGGCAUGAAGGAAUGGCCUCUUCAGAAUGGAGAAAAGCCUUCCCCAUGAGAACAUGCCUAAGACAGACUGCUGAAGAAGGCGGCAAAUGGAACAGCGCUGAAUCAGCCUGGUCAUCCCAGUCAAGCCUCCAGACAUGUAAGCACCCUCCUCUGAUCUGCAGAGCUGCCUGGCCCAAAUACUGUUGACCACUCUUGAGUAAGCCCCACCAAGAUCAGCUGAGAACAGUAGAACUGACCAGAUGACUCUAACCUCAUGAAUAAAUCCAAGUGUUUUUUUAUUU